AUGGCGAGGAGCGCGAGGCCGGUGCGGUGGCCGCGGGUGCUGGCGCCAGCGCACCUGGCCGGGGCCAUCCGGCGGUAGAAGAGCCCGGUCAAGGCGGCGCAGCUGUACGUCGAUGCGCCGGGCUGGUACCCGCGCGGCUCCUACCGCCACAGCAACGCCGUCCACGCCUCGCUCUUCGCCGCCGCCUUGUCCUCCCCCGCGCUGCUCCCCUCGCUCCUCCGCCGCGUCCUACGACACUCCCCCUCGGCGGACGCCCUCCUCGUCGUGUCCAUCCUGCACCUCCCUCCCGCGGACGCCGCCUCCAUAUUCUGCUCCUUGCUCCCCGCCUCCCCCGCCCCGUCCUGGUCCCUCUCCUUCUCCGCGCUGCUCCGCCGCCUCCUCGACCGCGGCCUCCUCCCUGAGGCUGCCAGCCUCCUCGCCGACUUCCAGGGGCGCCCCAAGGUGUCCGUAGCGUCCGAAGAUCUCACUCUGCUCAUCUCGGAGAUGUGCCGCCUGCGGCGCCCUGACCUCGUGCUCCAGGUGCUCGAGGAAAUGUCUAAUCAGUGUCUUGAGCCGGACAGAGGUGCCUACCACGUGAUCGUUCCCGCGCUCUGUGAUGCUGGUAUGCUUGACAAGGCUAUGCACAUUGUCUACUCCAUGCUGUGGUGAGUGUCGCAACGGGGCUGUGACGGGGAUGUGGUGGUGUUCCGGGCGUUGCUGGUCACGCUCUGUGCUGCUGGCCGAGGCGAGCUGGCAGAGCAAGUGCUGGAUAAGAUUAUCAGGAAGGGGCUGAGGAUGCCAGGUAGUAGGCGUUCUCUUCGCGUGCCAAUGCUUGUUGUGCUUGCCUUCGAGGAUGCCCGGGAAGCCAUUGACCGUGCUUUGGUUGUCCGUGGUGGGCAGAUUGUUGCAAGCUUUGAAUCCAUUAUUCUUGAUCUUUAUGACGAGAGACGGUUGAAUGAGGCAGACAAUUUGUCUCAGGACAUGGGCAAAAAGGGGUUCAAGCCGACAAUAUGCAUGUUUGAAGCCAAAAUCGUCGUCGAUCCGCGAUGCCAUAGCCUCCCCGCACCCGCUCUCCUGCUGCAUCUCGGAGAUUCAGGAGGCGGAGGUCGAUGGGCGAUGGAGCUGCAGCUACGUCGGAAGGAUGGUGACGCCGACGGUUGGUAG
This 1143-nucleotide ribosomal RNA is filed under the name Triticum aestivum (bread wheat). RNAcentral's name for it is "partial small subunit ribosomal RNA". The record is from RNAcentral. Lineage: Eukaryota; Viridiplantae; Streptophyta; Magnoliopsida; Poales; Poaceae.